RNAcentral lists this ribosomal RNA (253 nucleotides) under uncultured bacterium. Its description in RNAcentral is "partial 16S ribosomal RNA". It matches the Rfam family "Bacterial small subunit ribosomal RNA", at positions 524 to 776 of the family's 1533-position model. The record is from RNAcentral.
UACGUAGGGCGCGAGCGUUGUCCGGAAUUAUUGGGCGUAAAGAGCUCGUAGGCGGUUUGUCGCGUCGGUUGUGAAAACCCAAGGCUCAACCUUGGGCCUGCAAUCGAUACGGGCAGACUAGAGUACUGCAGGGGAGACUGGAAUUCCUGGUGUAGCGGUGGAAUGCGCAGAUAUCAGGAGGAACACCGGUGGCGAAGGCGGGUCUCUGGGCAGUAACUGACGCUGAGGAGCGAAAGCCAGGGGAGCAAACGGG